UGUUCUCUCCAGAUUAAUUUAUCCCAACAGCCCGCGUAUAAAACAUGGAAAUUGGCAAGCUGGUUCUAAAAAACAUAUUGUCCUGCCAAGGACCUGGAAUACAACCAAACACUUUUCAAAAAGAAAAACUUUCUCACAUCCGGUUCAUGUGGAUGUCUAACCAUGUUUUGUGCUGGAAAUUCUAAAGUUUCGUCUACUUCAUCCCAGGUUGCGACAUGCCUGUGUGAGGCCGGGACAAGCCACGGGGCCACCUGCCCGCCCUGCACUGCGCUCCGGGGCUGGUGGCUCCGGCCGGGAUUCGGGAUGACCCCUCCUGCCAAUCCGCUGCUGAGUGGGUCUGGACCCUUAUCCGCAAGGACUCGGGUCUUUAAUAUCGCAGAGGCCAGGUGCGCGUGGGUGACCUGCCCCGUGGUGACCAGGGGAGGUGACGGGCGUAGAGGGGACAGGGAGACCGCCCAUCAGGUUGGAGGCUCUGCCCCUGGAUCCGAAGCCUGGCUGCCCUGGGCCCCGCGCUCGGUCGCACUUGAAUAUUUCCACGUGUAGACACGCAGGACGACCCCGAAAUGCGGAGACUCAACUUACCGAGCGAAGUUGCAGAAAUAUUCUGAGGACAGCCCGGGUGGCUCAGUGGUUUAGCGCCGCCUUCAGCCCAGGGC
Molecule: long non-coding RNA, 656 nt
Organism: Canis lupus familiaris (dog)
Lineage: Eukaryota; Metazoa; Chordata; Mammalia; Carnivora; Canidae
Exons: 3
Source: RefSeq, a predicted model, not a curated record